AGCGAACGCUGGCGGCAGGCUUAACACAUGCAAGUCGAGCGGGCCCUUCGGGGUCAGCGGCGGACGGGUGAGUAACGCGUGGGAACGUGCCUUCUGGUCUGGAAUAACCCUGGGAAACUAGGGCUAAUACCGGAUACGCCCUUUUGGGGAAAGGUUUACUGCCGGAAGAUCGGCCCGCGUCUGAUUAGCUAGUUGGUGGGGUAACGGCCUACCAAGGCGACGAUCAGUAGCUGGUCUGAGAGGAUGAUCAGCCACACUGGGGCUGAGACACGGCCCAGACUCCUACGGGAGGCAGGAGUGGGGAAUAUUGGACAAUGGGCGCAAGCCUGAUCCAGCCAUGCCGCGUAAGUGAUGAAGGCCUUAGGGUUGUAAAGCUCUUUUAUCCGGGACGAUAAUGACGGUACCGGAGGAAUAAGCCCCGGCUAACUUCGUG
This 433-nucleotide ribosomal RNA is filed under the name uncultured bacterium. RNAcentral's name for it is "partial 16S ribosomal RNA". It matches the Rfam family "Bacterial small subunit ribosomal RNA", at positions 29 to 507 of the family's 1533-position model. The record is from RNAcentral.